CACGGAGGGUGCGAGCGUUGUUCGGAAUUAUUGGGCGUAAAGAGCGUGUAGGCGGUUUGUUAAGUCUGAUGUGAAAGCCCCGGGCUCAACCCGGGAAGUGCAUUGGAAACUGGCUGACUUGAGUACGGGAGAGGAAAGUGGAAUUUCGAGUGUAGGGGUGAAAUCCGUAGAUAUUCGAAGGAACACCAGUGGCGAAGGCGGCUUUCUGGACCGAUACUGACGCUGAGACGCGAUAGCGUGGGGAGCAAACAGG
This 253-nucleotide ribosomal RNA is filed under the name uncultured bacterium. Its description in RNAcentral is "partial 16S ribosomal RNA". It matches the Rfam family "Bacterial small subunit ribosomal RNA", at positions 524 to 776 of the family's 1533-position model. The record is from RNAcentral.